AUACGUAGGUGACAAGCGUUAUCCGGAUUUACUGGGCGUAAAGGGCGCGUAGGCGGCCCGGUAAGUCUGGAGUGAAAGUCCUGUUUUUAAGAUGGGAAUUGCUUUGGAUACUGUCGGGCUUGAGUGCAGGAGAGGUAAGUGGAAUUCCCAGUGUAGCGGUGAAAUGCGUAGAGAUUGGGAGGAACACCAGUGGCGAAGGCGACUUACUGGACUGUAACUGACGCUGAGGCACGAAAGUGUGGGGAGCAAACAGGAUUAGAUACCCUGGUAGUCCACACUGUAAACGAUGAAUGCUAGGUGUAGGGGGUAUCGACCCCUUCUGUGCCGCAGUCAACACAAUAAGCAUUCCGCCUGGGGAGUACGGCCGCAAGGUUGAAACUUAAAGGAAUUGACGGGG
RNAcentral lists this ribosomal RNA (397 nucleotides) under uncultured bacterium. RNAcentral's name for it is "partial 16S ribosomal RNA". It matches the Rfam family "Bacterial small subunit ribosomal RNA", at positions 523 to 918 of the family's 1533-position model. The record is from RNAcentral.